This 385-nucleotide ribosomal RNA is filed under the name uncultured bacterium. RNAcentral's name for it is "bacterial SSU rRNA". It matches the Rfam family "Bacterial small subunit ribosomal RNA", at positions 29 to 416 of the family's 1533-position model. The record is from RNAcentral.
AUUGAACGCUGGCGGCAUGCCUUACACAUGCAAGUCGAACGGCAGCACGGGAGCAAUCCUGGUGGCGAGUGGCGAACGGGUGAGUAAUAUAUCGGAACGUGCCCGGUCGUGGGGAUAACGUAGCGAAAGCUACGCUAAUACCGCAUACGAGCUACGGAUGAAAGCGGGGGAUCGCAAGACCUCGCGCGAUUGGAGCGGCCGAUAUCAGAUUAGGUAGUUGGUGAGGUAAAGGCUCACCAAGCCGACGAUCUGUAGCUGGUCUGAGAGGACGACCAGCCACACUGGGACUGAGACACGGCCCAGACUCCUACGGGAGGCAGCAGUGGGGAAUUUUGGACAAUGGGCGCAAGCCUGAUCCAGCAAUGCCGCGUGCAGGAUGAAGGCC